This 434-nucleotide ribosomal RNA is filed under the name uncultured Hymenobacter sp. RNAcentral describes it as "bacterial SSU rRNA". It matches the Rfam family "Bacterial small subunit ribosomal RNA", at positions 358 to 790 of the family's 1533-position model. Lineage: Bacteria; Pseudomonadati; Bacteroidota; Cytophagia; Cytophagales; Hymenobacteraceae. The record is from RNAcentral.
GGAAUAUUGGGCAAUGGACGAGAGUCUGACCCAGCCAUGCCGCGUGCCGGAUGAAGGCCUUCUGGGUUGUAAACGGCUUUUCUCAGGGAAGAAAAAGGGUAUGCGUACCAAACUGACGGUACCUGAGGAAUAAGCACCGGCUAACUCCGUGCCAGCAGCCGCGGUAAUACGGAGGGUGCAAGCGUUGUCCGGAUUUAUUGGGUUUAAAGGGUGCGUAGGCGGCUUGUUAAGUCCGGGGUGAAAGCCCACAGCUCAACUGUGGAACUGCCCUGGAUACUGGCAAGCUUGAGUCCAGACGAGGUUGGCGGAAUGGAAGGUGUAGCGGUGAAAUGCAUAGAUACCUUCCAGAACCCCGAUUGCGUAGGCAGCUGACUAGGCUGGUACUGACGCUGAGGCACGAAAGCGUGGGGAGCGAACAGGAUUAGAUACCCCAG